This 1554-nucleotide ribosomal RNA is filed under the name Staphylococcus aureus. Its description in RNAcentral is "16S ribosomal RNA". It matches the Rfam family "Bacterial small subunit ribosomal RNA". Lineage: Bacteria; Bacillati; Bacillota; Bacilli; Caryophanales; Staphylococcaceae. The record is from RNAcentral.
UUUAUGGAGAGUUUGAUCCUGGCUCAGGAUGAACGCUGGCGGCGUGCCUAAUACAUGCAAGUCGAGCGAACGGACGAGAAGCUUGCUUCUCUGAUGUUAGCGGCGGACGGGUGAGUAACACGUGGAUAACCUACCUAUAAGACUGGGAUAACUUCGGGAAACCGGAGCUAAUACCGGAUAAUAUUUUGAACCGCAUGGUUCAAAAGUGAAAGACGGUCUUGCUGUCACUUAUAGAUGGAUCCGCGCUGCAUUAGCUAGUUGGUAAGGUAACGGCUUACCAAGGCAACGAUGCAUAGCCGACCUGAGAGGGUGAUCGGCCACACUGGAACUGAGACACGGUCCAGACUCCUACGGGAGGCAGCAGUAGGGAAUCUUCCGCAAUGGGCGAAAGCCUGACGGAGCAACGCCGCGUGAGUGAUGAAGGUCUUCGGAUCGUAAAACUCUGUUAUUAGGGAAGAACAUAUGUGUAAGUAACUGUGCACAUCUUGACGGUACCUAAUCAGAAAGCCACGGCUAACUACGUGCCAGCAGCCGCGGUAAUACGUAGGUGGCAAGCGUUAUCCGGAAUUAUUGGGCGUAAAGCGCGCGUAGGCGGUUUUUUAAGUCUGAUGUGAAAGCCCACGGCUCAACCGUGGAGGGUCAUUGGAAACUGGAAAACUUGAGUGCAGAAGAGGAAAGUGGAAUUCCAUGUGUAGCGGUGAAAUGCGCAGAGAUAUGGAGGAACACCAGUGGCGAAGGCGACUUUCUGGUCUGUAACUGACGCUGAUGUGCGAAAGCGUGGGGAUCAAACAGGAUUAGAUACCCUGGUAGUCCACGCCGUAAACGAUGAGUGCUAAGUGUUAGGGGGUUUCCGCCCCUUAGUGCUGCAGCUAACGCAUUAAGCACUCCGCCUGGGGAGUACGACCGCAAGGUUGAAACUCAAAGGAAUUGACGGGGACCCGCACAAGCGGUGGAGCAUGUGGUUUAAUUCGAAGCAACGCGAAGAACCUUACCAAAUCUUGACAUCCUUUGACAACUCUAGAGAUAGAGCCUUCCCCUUCGGGGGACAAAGUGACAGGUGGUGCAUGGUUGUCGUCAGCUCGUGUCGUGAGAUGUUGGGUUAAGUCCCGCAACGAGCGCAACCCUUAAGCUUAGUUACCAUCAUUAAGUUGGGCACUCUAAGUUGACUGCCGGUGACAAACCGGAGGAAGGUGGGGAUGACGUCAAAUCAUCAUGCCCCUUAUGAUUUGGGCUACACACGUGCUACAAUGGACAAUACAAAGGGCAGCGAAACCGCGAGGUCAAGCAAAUCCCAUAAAGUUGUUCUCAGUUCGGAUUGUAGUCUGCAACUCGACUACAUGAAGCUGGAAUCGCUAGUAAUCGUAGAUCAGCAUGCUACGGUGAAUACGUUCCCGGGUCUUGUACACACCGCCCGUCACACCACGAGAGUUUGUAACACCCGAAGCCGGUGGAGUAACCUUUUAGGAGCUAGCCGUCGAAGGUGGGACAAAUGAUUGGGGUGAAGUCGUAACAAGGUAGCCGUAUCGGAAGGUGCGGCUGGAUCACCUCCUUUCU